This 70-nucleotide transfer RNA is filed under the name Opistognathus jacksoniensis (southern smiler). RNAcentral's name for it is "tRNA-Pro". It matches the Rfam family "tRNA". From Rfam's summary of the family: Transfer RNA (tRNA) molecules are approximately 80 nucleotides in length. Lineage: Eukaryota; Metazoa; Chordata; Actinopteri; Opistognathidae. The record is from RNAcentral.
CAAGGAGUAGUUUAAUUAAGAAUUCUAGCUUUGGGAGCUAGUGGUAGGGGUUAAAAUCCCCUUUCUUUGA